UGGGGCGUGGCCAAGUGGUAAGGCAGCGGGUUUUGGUUCCGUCAUUCGGAGGUUCGAAUCCUCCCGUCCCAG
RNAcentral lists this transfer RNA (72 nucleotides) under Schizaea pusilla. RNAcentral describes it as "tRNA-Gln". It matches the Rfam family "tRNA". From Rfam's summary of the family: Transfer RNA (tRNA) molecules are approximately 80 nucleotides in length. Lineage: Eukaryota; Viridiplantae; Streptophyta; Polypodiopsida; Schizaeales; Schizaeaceae. The record is from RNAcentral.